RNAcentral lists this ribosomal RNA (640 nucleotides) under uncultured bacterium. Its description in RNAcentral is "bacterial SSU rRNA". It matches the Rfam family "Bacterial small subunit ribosomal RNA", at positions 839 to 1478 of the family's 1533-position model. The record is from RNAcentral.
CUUAGUGGCGCAGCUAACGCACUAAGUUGACCGCCUGGGGAGUACGGCCGCAAGGUUAAAACUCAAAUGAAUUGACGGGGGCCCGCACAAGCGGUGGAGCAUGUGGUUUAAUUCGACGCAACGCGAAGAACCUUACCUGGCCUUGACAUCCAGAGAACUUUCCAGAGAUGGAUUGGUGCCUUCGGGAACUCUGUGACAGGUGCUGCAUGGCCGUCGUCAGCUCGUGUCGUGAGAUGUUGGGUUAAGUCCCGUAACGAGCGCAACCCCUAUCCCUGGUUGCUAGCAGGUAAUGCUGAGAACUCCAGGGAGACUGCCGGUGACAAACUGGAGGAAGGUGGGGAUGACGUCAGGUCAUCAUGGCCCUUACGGCCAGGGCUACACACGUGCUACAAUGGCGCGUACAGAGGGCUGCGAACUCGCGAGAGUAAGCCAAUCCCUUAAAACGCGUCGUAGUCCGGAUCGGAGUCUGCAACUCGACUCCGUGAAGUCGGAAUCGCUAGUAAUCGCGAAUCAGAAUGUCGCGGUGAAUACGUUCCCGGGCCUUGUACACACCGCCCGUCACACCAUGGGAGUGGAUUGCACCAGAAGUGGUUAGUCUAACCUUCGGGAGGACGAUCACCACGGUGUGGUUCAUGACUGG